ACGAGCGGCGGACGGGUGAGUAAUGUCUGGGAAACUGCCUGAUGGAGGGGGAUAACUACUGGAAACGGUAGCUAAUACCGCAUAACGUCGCAAGACCAAAGAGGGGGACCUUCGGGCCUCUUGCCAUCAGAUGUGCCCAGAUGGGAUUAGCUAGUAGGUGGGGUAAUGGCUCACCUAGGCGACGAUCCCUAGCUGGUCUGAGAGGAUGACCAGCCACACUGGAACUGAGACACGGUCCAGACUCCUACGGGAGGCAGCAGUGGGGAAUAUUGCACAAUGGGCGCAAGCCUGAUGCAGCCAUGCCGCGUGUGUGAAGAAGCCUUCGGGUUGUAAAGCACUUUCAGCGAGGAGGAAGGUGGUGAACUUAAUACGUUCAUCAAUUGACGUUACUCGCAGAAGAAGCACCGGCUAACUCCGUGCCAGCAGCCGCGGUAAUACGGAGGGUGCAAGCGUUAAUCGGAAUUACUGGGCGUAAAGCGCACGCAGGCGG
Molecule: ribosomal RNA, 490 nt
Filed under: uncultured Gammaproteobacteria bacterium
Lineage: Bacteria; Pseudomonadati; Pseudomonadota; Gammaproteobacteria
Description: bacterial SSU rRNA
Rfam family: Bacterial small subunit ribosomal RNA
Source: RNAcentral